RNAcentral lists this ribosomal RNA (850 nucleotides) under Alternaria hampshirensis. RNAcentral describes it as "eukaryotic LSU rRNA". It matches the Rfam family "Eukaryotic large subunit ribosomal RNA", at positions 68 to 936 of the family's 3401-position model. Lineage: Eukaryota; Fungi; Ascomycota; Dothideomycetes; Pleosporales; Pleosporaceae. The record is from RNAcentral.
ACAGGGAUUGCCCUAGUAACGGCGAGUGAAGCGGCAACAGCUCAAAUUUGAAAUCUGGCUCUUUUAGAGUCCGAGUUGUAAUUUGCAGAGGGCGCUUUGGCUUUGGCAGCGGUCCAAGUUCCUUGGAACAGGACGUCACAGAGGGUGAGAAUCCCGUACGUGGUCGCUGGCUAUUGCCGUGUAAAGCCCCUUCGACGAGUCGAGUUGUUUGGGAAUGCAGCUCUAAAUGGGAGGUACAUUUCUUCUAAAGCUAAAUAUUGGCCAGAGACCGAUAGCGCACAAGUAGAGUGAUCGAAAGAUGAAAAGCACUUUGGAAAGAGAGUCAAACAGCACGUGAAAUUGUUGAAAGGGAAGCGCUUGCAGCCAGACUUGCUUGCAGUUGCUCAUCCGGGCUUUUGCCCGGUGCACUCUUCUGCAGGCAGGCCAGCAUCAGUUUGGGCGGUAGGAUAAAGGUCUCUGUCACGUACCUCUCUUCGGGGAGGCCUUAUAGGGGAGACGACAUACUACCAGCCUGGACUGAGGUCCGCGCAUCUGCUAGGAUGCUGGCGUAAUGGCUGUAAGCGGCCCGUCUUGAAACACGGACCAAGGAGUCUAACAUCUAUGCGAGUGUUUGGGUGUCAAGCCCGAGCGCGUAAUGAAAGUGAACGGAGGUAGGAACCCGCAAGGGUGCACUAUCGACCGAUCCUGAUGUCUUCGGAAGGAUUUGAGUAAGAGCAUGGCUGUUGGGACCCGAAAGAUGGUGAACUAUGCUUGAAUAGGGUGAAGCCAGAGGAAACUCUGGUGGAGGCUCGCAGCGGUUCUGACGUGCAAAUCGAUCGUCAAAUUUGGGCAUAGGGGCGAAAGACUAAUC